CGGGGAGACAAUCCGCAGCCCCCUGUGUCUGUAUAGUUACCAGCCAAUCCACUGAGCACUUUCCCCUCCAAUACCGGGAAUGAGACUUUGGCUGCAUUUCGUUGCCAUUCUUGCAGCCUUGGAAGGGGUUCGUUCCCAGGUUGUUCUGACCCAGUCUGGCCCGGAAGCGAAGAAGCCCGGAGAAUCCGCUCAGCUGAAAUGCGCCGUGAGCGGGUUCAAUCCUGAUGACAGAUCGAUGGCUUGGAUCAGACAGGCGCCUGGGAAGGGGCUGCAAUGGCUGGUCAGCUACUGGAAAUCUUCAGUGAGCAGCCACUAUUCUCCCAGCGUCCAGGGACGAGUCAAAGUCUCCAAGGACAGCUCCAAUUUCUACUUGCAAAUAAGCAGCCUGAAACCCGAGGACACCGCCCUGUAUUACUGUGCAAGAGACACAGUGAGGGGAAACGGUCUGAGCUCAGACAAAAACUGCCUGUUGCGGUCUGUAGGGGAAGUCCCAGCUGGUUUAAUGCUGACAGUCCAGGCACUGGAAACUCAGAAGAGAAAACACAUCGUUCAGUUAAUGAUGGGCUGAUUUAGUCUAGAUCAGUUUCACAUAAGACAAAGAUCCAGGGCUUGGUCCCUGCCUGACCUAAAACGGUUAGGGAGACCCUCGGCGUCAAAUAUUUGAUUGAAAUAUUUAUACAUGUAAAUAAAUUAUAAUGUGCAAAAGGCAUUAAACACCCUCGCACCGUCCCCAUUUCCCAAAGGAGAGGAAAAGGCAGGAUAAACCAAACCACAAAGCCUCACAGCUAUAGAAAGUCACCCAGCUGGUCCUAGAGACACUGUGCAGUGAUGGCCCAUCGUUGUGAAAUGUUAACUUAGAAACGCAUUAAAUACCUCGUAUAAAUAUUGGCCUCAUCAAUAAACGAUGAUCUAUACAACAUGAGAACGUAGGGCCAAUUCCGAUUACCGAGCCCUCUGUUCAUCCAUUCUUGCAUCUCUCUAUCUGUCUAUCUAUAAAACAUCUUCCCACCCCACCCCUCUUUUUCUCAACCCAUGGUCACAGUGCUCCGAUCACAGAGGGAGGAGAGUGUAUCUUCUAAUUAUAUGUGUCAUUGCAAAUUAUUAGCCAAAUGCCCCUGUUAAAUUCUGCCCUGUCUCUGACCGUGCAUCUCGCCCUAUA
This is a non-coding RNA of Mauremys reevesii (Reeves's turtle), 1159 nucleotides long. The record is from the annotation of a RefSeq genome assembly. Lineage: Eukaryota; Metazoa; Chordata; Testudines; Geoemydidae.